AUUGAACGCUGGCGGCAGGCCUAACACAUGCAAGUCGAGCGGAUGAAGGGAGCUUGCUCCUGGAUUCAGCGGCGGACGGGUGAGUAAUGCCUAGGAAUCUGCCUGGUAGUGGGGGAUAACGUCCGGAAACGGGCGCUAAUACCGCAUACGUCCUGAGGGAGAAAGUGGGGGAUCUUCGGACCUCACGCUAUCAGAUGAGCCUAGGUCGGAUUAGCUAGUUGGUGGGGUAAAGGCCUACCAAGGCGACGAUCCGUAACUGGUCUGAGAGGAUGAUCAGUCACACUGGAACUGAGACACGGUCCAGACUCCUACGGGAGGCAGCAGUGGGGAAUAUUGGACAAUGGGCGAAAGCCUGAUCCAGCCAUGCCGCGUGUGUGAAGAAGGUCUUUGGAUUGUAAAGCACUUUAAGUUGGGAGGAAGGGCAGCAAGUUAAUACCUUGCUGUUUUGACGUUACCAACAGAAUAAGCACCGGCUAACUUCGUG
This 484-nucleotide ribosomal RNA is filed under the name uncultured bacterium. RNAcentral's name for it is "partial 16S ribosomal RNA". It matches the Rfam family "Bacterial small subunit ribosomal RNA", at positions 30 to 507 of the family's 1533-position model. The record is from RNAcentral.